Molecule: long non-coding RNA, 456 nt
Organism: Toxorhynchites rutilus septentrionalis
Lineage: Eukaryota; Metazoa; Arthropoda; Insecta; Diptera; Culicidae
Exons: 2
Source: RefSeq, a predicted model, not a curated record
ACGCUAAACUGUCAUCUCAAACAAAAACAAAUGGACCAUAUAACUGACUAUGAUGUGAAAACAUCUGGCUUUUCUAUAGCCAUCAAUAGAAACUAGCCGGAAGAUGAUUUCCCCCAUUACCAGUCGCCAAACAACAAGAACAACAGUGCAGAUUUUCACCGUUGUCACAGGAGCCAACAACAUCUGCAAUUCCAAUCAGCAGUAUCCUCCAAACCCAUGCCGGGGACAGCAACAACAGCGGCAACAGCAGAAUCGAAUCCUCGGGCACAAAUGUGUAUCAAGGAAAUAAAAACUAUCAACGCAGGAGGUAUUUAUCAACGAGCUCAGCUGGACUCGAAUCGUCAAUCCGGAAACCCCGGAUUUAAAAAUUUCGCUGUAUUGUGGUUAUUUGUAUAUCACAAACACAUAUUGUUUUGUAAUACGUAUUUUUUCGAGUAAUAAAAUGACUAAAAUUGA